RNAcentral lists this ribosomal RNA (470 nucleotides) under uncultured organism. Its description in RNAcentral is "partial 16S ribosomal RNA". It matches the Rfam family "Bacterial small subunit ribosomal RNA", at positions 335 to 797 of the family's 1533-position model. The record is from RNAcentral.
ACUCCUACGGGAGGCAGCAGUGGGGAAUAUUGCACAAUGGGCGCAAGCCUGAUGCAGCCAUGCCGCGUGUAUGAAGAAGGCCUUCGGGUUGUAAAGUACUUUCAGCGGGGAGGAAGGCAAUACGGUUAAUAACCGUGUUGAUUGACGUUACCCGCAGAAGAAGCACCGGCUAACUCCGUGCCAGCAGCCGCGGUAAUACGGAGGGUGCAAGCGUUAAUCGGAAUUACUGGGCGUAAAGCGCACGCAGGCGGUCUGUCAAGUCGGAUGUGAAAUCCCCGGGCUCAACCUGGGAACUGCAUUCGGAACUGGCAGGCUUGAGUCUUGUAGAGGGGGGUAGAAUUCCAGGUGUAGCGGUGAAAUGCGUAGAGAUCUGGAGGAAUACCGGUGGCGAAGGCGGCCCCCUGGACAAAGACUGACGCUCAGGUGCGAAAGCGUGGGGAGCAAACAGGAUUAGAAACCCCAGUAGUCCC